GGCUACUAACCUGACUAGAAAUCUAAAAUGGGAAAAAUAAAAAACAAUAAGAAGAAAUCAAGGAGAGUUUCUCACUCCUCAAAGCAUAAACAUCUGUCCAGUGUUUGUUUGCCAAAAAGAUCACUCUUCAAAACCCACUACCACUUCCAGUUCCUCUCCGCUAGCUCCUCCGUUUUCAGCAAAUCCCCACCAUCUCUUCUUCCCAUUACUAUCAUUUUU
Molecule: unclassified non-coding RNA, 219 nt
Filed under: Hevea brasiliensis (rubber tree)
Lineage: Eukaryota; Viridiplantae; Streptophyta; Magnoliopsida; Malpighiales; Euphorbiaceae
Source: RNAcentral